Chrysemys picta bellii (western painted turtle) is the source of this 1630-nucleotide long non-coding RNA. The record is from Ensembl. Lineage: Eukaryota; Metazoa; Chordata; Testudines; Emydidae.
UGGUGUGGGUGGGAAGGGAGGAGGCGGGAUACUGGGCUAGAUGGGCCUAUUGGUCUGUUCCCGCAGGAUAGUCCCUAUGUCCCGGUCCCUGAACUUCAUGUCACUAGGUCAGCAGCAAUGCAGGGGCCUUGUGAUGCCGUAAUUUUCCUGGCUCUCACCACCCUUCUAAUCCCCCGGCGCAGCUCCAUUGGACGGGAGCUGCACGCCCAGCUCAGGACAUCGCCCUGGCCCUGUGGCUUCAUCCCUAGGAAUCCUAGAAUCAUGGAAUAUCAGGGUUGGAAGGGACCUCAGGAGGUCAUCUAGUCCAACCCCCUGCUCAAAGCAGGACCAAUCCCCAACUAAACCAAACACAAAGGGCUGGGCGGCCACACAAUGGGGAGGAAAUCCUCCGCCCUGGCGUGCUUCCCCCCAGCCAUCGCAGGCCCGGUUUGCUGGAACAACACCAGCCUUGAGGCAGGCUCAGGGAUUGGAUCCGCCUCCCACACUCCCCAGGGAUCUCAGCUGGUGUAAAUCACCCACGACUCCAAAGGCGCAGAGCCAGCUUACACCCGCCGGGGAUCUGGCCCCAUUGACUCCAGCGGCGCAUCGCCCAUUUACACGGGGGCAAAAGGAAAACUGGCAAAGGGAAUGGACACCAACGACUGGACAACGGAGCCAGCGCGACCGCAGGGGAAGGAAGCCGGUCACCCGAAAUAAGUGCUUUGCUGGGGAACUCUGAGCUGGUUGACUGGGCAGGAAAUGACCUGGCAUUGAGAUUGGAUUAACAUCAGCUCCAAACCCACGACCACAAAUGUGGUGACUUGCUCACGCUGGGUAAGUACCCUCACAGGGAGCACAGAAGCUGAUGGCUGGACGGGAAGUCUGGAUACAUUCCAAUUAGAAAAUAGGGCACGUAUUUUUAACAGUGAGGGGGAAUACCCAUUGGAACAGAUUACCGAGGGAAGGGGCGGCUUCUCCAUCUCUGACGUCUUCGGAUCCAGACUGGAUGCCUUUCUAGAAAACAUGCUUUAGCCAAACCCAGAUACCGCACACACCCCGACAGAGAUCGGGGCCCCUGUUGUGCCAGGUGCUGCACAGACCCUGACCGAGAUCAGGGCCCCCAUUGUGCCAGGUGCUGCACAGACGCACAAUGAGAGACAAUUCCUGCCCUCACAACUAAAAAACUAAAACAUUUUUCUGUGGGUUUUUGAAAAUUUUUGAGAAAAUGAGCUUUAAAAAAAAUUGUGAAACACAACAUCAGUUUCCAAACAGUUCGCGUGGCUAUAGAUCAGCGUCUUUCAACCUUUUUAAAUUUGUGGACCCAUAAAAUUUUCAAAAGGAGGUCUGGACCCCUUUUGAAAUCUUACACAUAGUCUGUGGAGCUGCAGGGGUCCGAGGACCACAGGUUGAAAACCACAGCUAUAGAUCAGUGGCUCUCAACCUUUCCAGGUGACUGUACCCCUUCCAAGAGUAUGAUUUGUCUUGUGUACCCCCAAGUUACACCUCACUUAAAAACCACUUGCUUACAAAAUCAGACAUAAAAAUACAAGUGUCCCAGCACAGUUUUAGAAUACUGACAAAUUGCUGAUUUUCUCAUUUUUACCAUACAAUUAUAAAGUAAAUCAAUUGGAAUAUAAAUAUUGUACUUACA